GGGAGGUAAAGAUGAGGUAGGGAUCGGUCGCGCGCAAGUAACGUGUUGACUCUCGCGAUCGCGUAGCUCCUAAUUUAUUUACAAUUUCGCAAAGGGGGAACCGGAUUGAUUCGAGUCCCAUCCACAGGCGAGAUCCAAUACCAAGCUGCGGAGUAGCCACCGAUUCAGGCUCCACCGUAAUUCGCCGGCCGUUUAAUUGCGCGCUGGCUUAGACGACGAUUGCAUCGUUCGAUCGUGAUUAACGGACGUUUUGUACGUGCUUCCUGGUACUGUGGAUUAUAUCUUUGACUACAUAUUUCGAAAAGUUUGAAUUGCUAUGUUUCGCUAAAUUCUAUCGAAAGUUGGAGAACGUACGAAACAGCUCUAGGUCACGUGAUUCUCAACCGAACGGUAUCUCAAUUCGCAACUAUUCCAUCGUCCGUACUAUACUCGACUUAUUCGACGAGAUCUAAUCCGAUUGAGAAAUUUGACAUAUCAAUUUACAAACGACUAUCGCAGCAUGAGAUUCGAAAUACGUAUCUACUCCUAUAGAAUGCGUACGGUGUCUAAGUAUAUGUUUCUAAGGCGCUCAUAACUGUUCGUAACUAGAGAUUUUUUCCGAUAGCUAAAAAUAAUAAUCAAACGCCAACAAUCGA
Molecule: unclassified non-coding RNA, 635 nt
Filed under: Bombus terrestris (buff-tailed bumblebee)
Lineage: Eukaryota; Metazoa; Arthropoda; Insecta; Hymenoptera; Apidae
Description: misc RNA ENSBTSG00005024644.1
Source: RNAcentral